This is a long non-coding RNA of Spea bombifrons (plains spadefoot toad), 430 nucleotides long. RefSeq lists it as uncharacterized. The record is from RefSeq and is a predicted model, not a curated record. The transcript has 2 exons. NCBI's taxonomy places the organism in Eukaryota, Metazoa, Chordata, Amphibia, Anura, Pelobatidae.
AAAAUGAUUGGCUUUAGAACACUACAUUAGUCUUGUGGGCAGUACUGACAGCUCUGUCUUAUCUUCUAUUUAGAGAUUUCCUGACCUGGUAGAAGAAUGUGCUCUCUGGCAGCACCUUGAAUGUGCCCUUGUGGCAAUCCCAUCAGCAAUUGUGCUGCUCUGGGUUGUGAUGUCAGCUUUAGAGAUGUACACAUCUUCUCUCUUAAAUUCUAAAAGGGAAGAAUCUGCAACCGUACAGAAGUCUUCACCAAAAAUGAAAUGCAAAUGUGGAUACCAGCCAGCAAAGCCGCUAUUUCCAUUGAGCCAUGACCUGGUUCACAACAUCAAGCAGGUCCAAGCUAAAAAAAUGGAAGAAGCCACUGAGAAAUUUCUCCUGAAAAUACGGCAACACGUGAGACUGUUGUCAACGACAUUUGCACUAAAGAGAAAA